Molecule: long non-coding RNA, 1272 nt
Organism: Hippocampus comes (tiger tail seahorse)
Lineage: Eukaryota; Metazoa; Chordata; Actinopteri; Syngnathiformes; Syngnathidae
Exons: 2
Source: RefSeq, a predicted model, not a curated record
UCCAAAUGUCCAACCGUUGAAAGUUUACCUUCAGGGAAGACGACAGCACAGUUGCCACUCGGCUGCGGAAGUGAGUAACAUGAAGCGCACCAAAUUGAGCCACUUCAGUUUUGACACGCAACCAAUCUAAUAAGUACGGUAAACAAAAAGAAAGUCAAACACACCCUUUGACCAAACAACAGGCGCAAAACUAACAAGUGUACAUUACGGAUCACAGCAAUAGUGAAGGGAAAAGACUUGUAAGCUUCAAUAGGGAACCAUGAUGCGAUGAGGUCACCUACUGCGUAACGUCUUGGGGAGUGACGUCACAAAUGCGCCAUGUCACCUUUUCAGCAGCACGGUGGCAUGUCACGUGCACAUAAUUGAGAAAGUAGAGCCGUUCGCGUUUUCAAAAUGGGAAUAUCGUCCCUAAGGGGGCGUUUGUGACAGCUAACUACUAUCGUCAAAGUGUUAGCUAGCAUUAAAAAAAAAAAAAGUAACCAAUUCCUCAAUGGGAUUAUUCAUGAGUUAUGUGCGAGAAUGUAAAUUGGAAGCCAUGCCACUGAACUAUUCAAACCUUCAUCUGUCCUGCUGUUAAUAUUUUCAUCACGAAAAAAACAAACAAACAAAAAAAAAACCCUCCUCCCUUUACGCUGCCACGUUGCUCUCAUAUUUCUUGUUGGAAAUCGGAGGGUGAGUUAACGCAACCACCUGUGAGAUCUUGUGAAGUGGACCCCUUGAAUAGCCGAUUGUCGCAUGAAAAAGGUGUGAAAACAACCACGAGGAUCCUCGCAUUGAUGACAUUUCCUUUUGGGGAAAAAAUAUCCGACAGGAGCGUGGCGGUUUUACGAUAAUAUGCUAACCUUGGUUUACCUUGAUAUGAAAGCCUUUUUAGACUUGUUAACAUUUCCCUCAUUCAGACGUCGAUGUCAGAUUUGAAUGGAAUGAUAUCGAGGAUGACUUUUCAGAAUAGGAACGCGAGGCAAGAGAUCAACGUUGAAGCUUUUCUUCCCAGGUAUCUGACACGGAGAAAAUCUCACCUUGAGAUCAUCUCAAUUGGUAAUAUGGCAUGUGAGAGUGUUAAGUGAAUCGAUAAUAAUAAGUCACCACUUCCUAGCGCAACCUCUUUCAUUUAGCAUCGAUUCACUUUUCCACGAUCAAUGAUGAAACUCAGUAAUUAGGAUUGAAGGCGUCUAUAAAGUUAUAUAUAUCACCGAUGCACUGCUAUAAAUAAACCAAACUGUAGCUUAGCAACCAUUUAUAUGCAGGCCAGCUCGUCUGAUAGGGCUGAUU